This 253-nucleotide ribosomal RNA is filed under the name uncultured bacterium. Its description in RNAcentral is "partial 16S ribosomal RNA". It matches the Rfam family "Bacterial small subunit ribosomal RNA", at positions 524 to 776 of the family's 1533-position model. The record is from RNAcentral.
UACGAAGGGGGCUAGCGUUGCUCGGAAUUACUGGGCGUAAAGGGCGCGUAGGCGGAUGUUUAAGUCGGGGGUGAAAGCCCAGGGCUCAACCCUGGAAUUGCCUUCGAUACUGGAUAUCUUGAGUUCGGGAGAGGUGAGUGGAAUGCCGAGUGUAGAGGUGAAAUUCGUAGAUAUUCGGCGGAACACCAGUGGCGAAGGCGACUCACUGGCCCGAUACUGACGCUGAGGCGCGAAAGCGUGGGGAGCAAACAGG